RNAcentral lists this small RNA (28 nucleotides) under Bombyx mori (domestic silkworm). Its description in RNAcentral is "ovarian small RNA-30344". The record is from RNAcentral. Lineage: Eukaryota; Metazoa; Arthropoda; Insecta; Lepidoptera; Bombycidae.
UGAAAAGAGACAACGACGUACCAAUUGC